Molecule: unclassified non-coding RNA, 329 nt
Filed under: soil metagenome
Description: partial contains 5.8S ribosomal RNA, internal transcribed spacer 2, and large subunit ribosomal RNA
Rfam family: 5.8S ribosomal RNA (bases 1-120)
Source: RNAcentral
GAUGAAGAACGCAGCGAAAUGCGAUAAGUAAUGUGAAUUGCAGAAUUCAGUGAAUCAUCGAAUCUUUGAACGCACAUUGCGCCCCUUGGUAUUCCGAGGGGCAUGCCUGUUCGAGCGUCAUUAUAACCCCUCAAGCUCAGCUUGGUGUUGGGUCCUGCUGCACUGGCAGCCCUUAAAAUCAGUGGCGGCGCCAUCUGGCUCUAAGCGUAGUAAUUCUUCUCGCUAUGGAGUCCUGGUGGAUGCUUGCCAUCAACCCCCAAUUUUUCUAUGGUUGACCUCGGAUCAGGUAGGGAUACCCGCUGAACUUAAGCAUAUCAAUAAGCGGAGGA